GACGAACGCUGGCGGCGUGCUUGACACAUGCAAGUCGAACGGAAAGGCCUGCUUUCCCUUGUGGAUUGCGGGUACUCGAGUGGCGAACGGGUGAGUAACACGUGAGUGAUCUGCCCCCAACUUGGGUAUAAGCCUGGGAAACUGGGUCUAAUUCCCGAUAGGACUGCAGGGUGGUGCCUGUGGUGGAAAACGAUUUUCUAGUGGUUGGGGAUGAGCUCGCGGCCUAUCAGCUUGUUGGUGGGGUAAUGGCCUACCAAGGCGGCGACGGGUAGCCGGCCUGAGAGGGUGGACGGCCACAUUGGGACUGAGAUACGGCCCAGACUCCUACGGGAGGCAGCAGUGGGGAAUAUUACACAAUGGGCGGAAGCCUGAUGCAGCGGCGCCGCGUGGGGGAUGACGGCCUUCGGGUUGUAAACUCCUUUCGACCGCGAGGAAGCCACCUGGUUGGAAGGGUGGUGACGGUAGUGGUAGAAGAAGCAUCGGCUAACUACGUG
This 494-nucleotide ribosomal RNA is filed under the name uncultured bacterium. Its description in RNAcentral is "partial 16S ribosomal RNA". It matches the Rfam family "Bacterial small subunit ribosomal RNA", at positions 28 to 507 of the family's 1533-position model. The record is from RNAcentral.